Molecule: ribosomal RNA, 1418 nt
Filed under: Escherichia coli p0305293.9
Lineage: Bacteria; Pseudomonadati; Pseudomonadota; Gammaproteobacteria; Enterobacterales; Enterobacteriaceae
Description: partial 23S ribosomal RNA
Rfam family: Bacterial small subunit ribosomal RNA (bases 429-1418)
Source: RNAcentral
UUGGGUGUUAAAUAGCCUGGCAGACCUGCCGCAAGCGAUAAAAAAGCAGCAAAAACCGGCGCAAUGAUUAAAAGAUGAGCGGUUGAAAUAAAAAUGCAUUUUUCCGCUUGUCUUCCUGAGCCGACUCCCUAUAAUGCGCCUCCAUCGACACGGCGGAUGUGAAUCACUUCACACAAACAGCCGGUUCGGUUGAAGAGAAAAAAUCCUGAAAUUCAGGGUUGACUCUGAAAGAGGAAAGCGUAAUAUACGCCACCUCGCGACAGUGCGCUAAAGCGCGUCGCAACUGCUCUUUAACAAUUUAUCAGACAAUCUGUGUGGGCACUCGAAGAUACGGAUUCUUAACGUCGCAAGACGAAAAAUGAAUACCAAGUCUCAAGAGUGAACACGUAAUUCAUUACGAAGUUUAAUUCUUUGAGCAUCAAACUUUUAAAUUGAAGAGUUUGAUCAUGGCUCAGAUUGAACGCUGGCGGCAGGCCUAACACAUGCAAGUCGAACGGUAACAGAAAGCAGCUUGCUGCUGCUGACGAGUGGCGGACGGGUGAGUAAUGUCUGGGAAACUGCCUGAUGGAGGGGGAUAACUACUGGAAACGGUAGCUAAUACCGCAUAACGUCGCAAGACCAAAGAGGGGGACCUUCGGGCCUCUUGCCAUCGGAUGUGCCCAGAUGGGAUUAGCUUGUUGGUGGGGUAACGGCUCACCAAGGCGACGAUCCCUAGCUGGUCUGAGAGGAUGACCAGCCACACUGGAACUGAGACACGGUCCAGACUCCUACGGGAGGCAGCAGUGGGGAAUAUUGCACAAUGGGCGCAAGCCUGAUGCAGCCAUGCCGCGUGUAUGAAGAAGGCCUUCGGGUUGUAAAGUACUUUCAGCGGGGAGGAAGGGAGUAAAGUUAAUACCUUUGCUCAUUGACGUUACCCGCAGAAGAAGCACCGGCUAACUCCGUGCCAGCAGCCGCGGUAAUACGGAGGGUGCAAGCGUUAAUCGGAAUUACUGGGCGUAAAGCGCACGCAGGCGGUUUGUUAAGUCAGAUGUGAAAUCCCCGGGCUCAACCUGGGAACUGCAUCUGAUACUGGCAAGCUUGAGUCUCGUAGAGGGGGGUAGAAUUCCAGGUGUAGCGGUGAAAUGCGUAGAGAUCUGGAGGAAUACCGGUGGCGAAGGCGGCCCCCUGGACGAAGACUGACGCUCAGGUGCGAAAGCGUGGGGAGCAAACAGGAUUAGAUACCCUGGUAGUCCACGCCGUAAACGAUGUCGACUUGGAGGUUGUGCCCUUGAGGCGUGGCUUCCGGAGCUAACGCGUUAAGUCGACCGCCUGGGGAGUACGGCCGCAAGGUUAAAACUCAAAUGAAUUGACGGGGGCCCGCACAAGCGGUGGAGCAUGUGGUUUAAUUCGAUGCAACGCGAAGAACCUUACCUGGUCUU